RNAcentral lists this ribosomal RNA (497 nucleotides) under uncultured bacterium. RNAcentral's name for it is "partial 16S ribosomal RNA". It matches the Rfam family "Bacterial small subunit ribosomal RNA", at positions 28 to 507 of the family's 1533-position model. The record is from RNAcentral.
GACGAACGCUGGCGGCGUGCCUAAUACAUGCAAGUCGAGCGGACGGAUGGGAGCUUGCUCCCAGACCGUCAGCGGCGGACGGGUGAGUAACACGUGGCAACCUGCCUGUAAGACUGGGAUAACUCCGGGAAACCGGGGCUAAUACCGGAUAACUCUUUCCCUCACAUGAGGGAAAGCUGAAAGAUGGCAUCUCGCUAUCACUUACAGAUGGGCCCGCGGCGCAUUAGCUAGUUGGUGAGGUAACGGCUCACCAAGGCGACGAUGCGUAGCCGACCUGAGAGGGUGAUCGGCCACACUGGGACUGAGACACGGCCCAGACUCCUACGGGAGGCAGCAGUAGGGAAUCUUCCGCAAUGGACGAAAGUCUGACGGAGCAACGCCGCGUGAGUGAUGAAGGUUUUCGGAUCGUAAAACUCUGUUGUCAGGGAAGAACAAGUACCGGAGUAACUGCCGGUACCUUGACGGUACCUGACCAGAAAGCCACGGCUAACUACGUG